AAUUGAGCAUUGAUGAAGAAGUGUUAAGCACGGUUAAAGAGACGAAACAACUGGUGAAAGUUUCGAUGUGCCUAACUAGUAGCUUCGGAGCUACUUUUCUGAACGUAUUUUCAGUAGGAAGAGUCGAACUAAAAAGUUCGUUAUCAAUUUAUUAAAGAGGGGUACAUUGUGCCCAAUUUAGGUGGUACCGCGAAGCAUUUCGUCCUAUUU
This 210-nucleotide non-coding RNA is filed under the name Pediococcus claussenii. RNAcentral's name for it is "T-box sequence". It matches the Rfam family "T-box leader". Rfam says of the family: Uncharged tRNA acts as the effector for transcription antitermination of genes in the T-box leader family. T-boxes are found upstream of many aminoacyl-tRNA synthetase genes and some amino acid biosynthetic genes usually in Gram-positive bacteria. The anticodon of a specific tRNA base pairs to a specifier sequence within the T-box motif, and the NCCA acceptor tail of the tRNA base pairs to a conserved bulge in the T-box antiterminator hairpin. The record is from RNAcentral. Lineage: Bacteria; Bacillati; Bacillota; Bacilli; Lactobacillales; Lactobacillaceae.